Non-coding RNA from Delphinapterus leucas (beluga whale), 709 nucleotides. The record is from the annotation of a RefSeq genome assembly. Lineage: Eukaryota; Metazoa; Chordata; Mammalia; Artiodactyla; Monodontidae.
CGAGGGGCUGUGCAGGUCAGGGAAUGGCAUAGAGUAGCUGGCCGGGGUCCUGCCAAGGGGUGCAGUGGACCAGAAGACAGCCUGCAGAGACAUCAGGGCAGUGACAUCAUGGGAAAAUCUCCUACCAGGGAAACAGGAAGUUCAGCUCUUUAGACCACUCACCCCCGGACACCCGCCCCGAGCUAGGAGUUGUUUGGUUCCUGACGCUGCCAUGGACUCCAGGCUCCUCUGCUGUGUGACUCUUUGUCUCCUGGGAGCAGGCCCGGUGGAUUCUGGAGUCACCUUGACCCCCAAAUACGUGAUCAAAUCAAGACAACAGCAAGAGACACUGAGAUGUUCCCCUGUCUCUGGACACCUCUCUGUGUCCUGGUACCAACAGGCCCUGGGCCAGGGCCAUCAGUUCCCAGCUGAGUAUUACAGAGGGGAAGAGAGAGGAGAAGGAAACAUCCUAGAUAGAUUCUCAGGCCAACAAUUCAGUGACUCUAGCUCUGAGCCUGACUUGAGCUCCUUGGAGCUGACGGAGGCGGCCCUGUAUCUCUGUGCCAGCAGCCAAGACGCAGCCCUGCAUGAACAGCUGCCUCUGGUACAAAAACAUUCCUGCCCCAGCUCAGGAAGUGGCCGUGAGGGCGUUGACUGCCAGCCAACCCCUCCCAGGCCCUGGUAAAGCAGACAGCCUUUCGCAGGUAUUAUUUCUUUGAUAUGUAUGAAU